GAACACCUUAGCCUUGCCGCCACCAAACUUCAUUCACCGGCGCCAAAUCCGGUGAUAAUUUUUACACCAUUCUCUUCCUCUCUUCACGGGCUUUCUAUUGAUAUAUGUUUCAAGACUUAUCAUCAAGUAUGCGCGAUGAAUCAAAGGAGAGAAGAUUGAGUGAUUUUCCGGAGAAUUUGGAGAAACCCUAAGGUAAUCCGGUUGAGCAAGCUUCUGAAGACAUUCCCGAGACGGGACUCACUUAGUCACCCUUCAUUGGCUCUUUGGAUUUCCGUUUUGCCCAGGUAGUAGAUUUCGCAGAGGUCAGACCGCACUACGUUGAGGCAUUCUCCUUAUCCACCGUCAUCCAUCUUGACUUGUAGGAUUUGUUUCCUUUCGUACUUUUAUAUUUCUU
Rosa chinensis is the source of this 394-nucleotide long non-coding RNA. RefSeq lists it as uncharacterized. Lineage: Eukaryota; Viridiplantae; Streptophyta; Magnoliopsida; Rosales; Rosaceae. The record is from RefSeq and is a predicted model, not a curated record. The transcript is spliced from 3 exons.